GAUCUCUCCUUUAUUAACCGUCCGAUUAUCAUAAACUCUUAAUAAAACCCUGAUCCCUAUAUAAACUCCAUCUUAACUUUCCUUCCCCAGAUUUGUUCAUUCUGUGGUUUCUUGGUUUUUAUAUUUAUAACCCUAUUUUCACUGUUUUUAAUCAAAUUCGCCGAUCAUGAGAUUUAAUAAAGGUAGCAAAGUCGAGGUCCUUACCAAGAGGGAGGUACCAACAGGUGCCUGGCGCUGCGCCGAGAUCAUCUCCGGUAACGGCCACACUUACAGCGUUGGUGCGGUUGGUUUCCAGUCACUGGCGAGGAGGGGACGGUGGAGAGAGUCCCCAGAAAAGCGAUUAGGCCUUGCCCUCCACCUACAAACGGGACCGUUGAUUGGGUUCCUGGCGACAUCGUAGAGGUGUUCGACGACCUGUGCUGGAAACCGGCCUUGAUUGUUACUGUUUUCGGUGGAAACAACUUUUCUGUGAGGAUUCUUGGAUCGAAUAUAGAACUGGAAGUACAUCGAUCUCGACUGCGUGUUCGACAAUCUUGGGAAGAUGGCAAGUGGUUCCUCGUUGGAAAGGGUUCGUCAAAUUCCUCACAUAAGAGGAAAAGAUCUUCGAUUGGCUUCUCGGGUUCUGGUGGGCAGAAGAAGAGGGCUAUUG
This is a long non-coding RNA of Hibiscus syriacus, 649 nucleotides long. RefSeq lists it as uncharacterized. The transcript has 2 exons. The record is from RefSeq and is a predicted model, not a curated record. NCBI's taxonomy places the organism in Eukaryota, Viridiplantae, Streptophyta, Magnoliopsida, Malvales, Malvaceae.